UACGGGGGGUGCGAGCGUUGUCCGGAAUCACUGGGCGUAAAGGGCGCGUAGGUGGUUUGAUAAGGGUGUGGUGAAAGUCCGGGGCUCAACCCCGGAUCUGCCGUGCCGACUGUCAAACUCGAGGACUGUAGAGGCAGACGGAAUUCCGGGUGUAGCGGUGGAAUGCGUAGAGAUCCGGAGGAAGACCGGUGGCGAAGGCGGUCUGCUGGGCAGUUUCUGACGCUGAGGUGCGAGAGCGUGGGGAGCGAACCGG
RNAcentral lists this ribosomal RNA (253 nucleotides) under uncultured bacterium. RNAcentral describes it as "partial 16S ribosomal RNA". It matches the Rfam family "Bacterial small subunit ribosomal RNA", at positions 524 to 776 of the family's 1533-position model. The record is from RNAcentral.